CCGAGGAAUCCGCGUAACUCCAAUAUCUGCAGUCCAAGAGCAAAUGUUGUCACAGAAUCCUCACCGAAGGUCGUACGUUUCCGCAGCCCGUGGAACCAUGAGCUAGAUCGCGUAAAUUUGUCGUCAGCAUGUCGCAUUGGACAAAAGAUACGAGGAGCAGUACGCGUGCCGCCGUUCGAUACGAACAGACGCAAAGCAGCUACAAGAGCAAAUAGAAGCCAAAAACGGACAAUUUGCCUUAUUGGAAAUAUCUGUGCCAAGUGAAACAAUUUAAACUUCCUUGUCACGCUCAGUUCGCUCUCGUCGUGAAUGCUGGACCGCUCUAGAAAACAAGCCAACUUCAAGAUGUGUCGGUCUACGUAGCUGGCUGGUUCUUAGAACGGCUUUGCAUGUGUGAGAGGGCGAAUGAUUUUCAACGUGAAUGUAAAAGUAAACAUGUAGAGUGGUGUCACACAAUUAGCUGGCUGCCUCGCCCGUUCGUUCCAACCGGUCGAGCUAAAACGGCCCCAUCCACACAGGAACGGUUUCGAACGGUUCAACCUUGCGCGACUUUGACGUUGGUGGCCCGGCGGCUACAAACAGCAAUGAAUAUGCAAUCACGCACAUUUAAGCACGGCAGACCGGGGACUCACUUUCCAAGAUGGCAAGAGUGCACACCAUAGCCGCGCGACCAGCGUCUUGUCGUAGCGAAUUGUCCUAUAAAUUAAUUAUUACAAAUGAACAGUACCAGGGGAACGUGCAAACACGAUCAACGCAAAGAAGACACACUGCUCUCGGCAAAAUGCUUCAAGAGUGCGGGGUAGCCUGGUAGCAUCUUUCCAGCGGUCGAUGACGAAACGAACGUUUAGCUGCAUCCGUUGCAAAGCUUGUCUUAGCUUUAUGUGCGACUCGUGCCGAAUGCAAUCAAUGUGGAAUUCCAUCUGAGAUGAUAACAUUUGCACUUCAAACAUCUUAACAUUGCUUUCACGAUUAAAUUGAUAAGUGAUUCGUUCCUGCAAAA
Molecule: long non-coding RNA, 1000 nt
Organism: Anopheles arabiensis
Lineage: Eukaryota; Metazoa; Arthropoda; Insecta; Diptera; Culicidae
Exons: 2
Source: RefSeq, a predicted model, not a curated record